RNAcentral lists this ribosomal RNA (730 nucleotides) under uncultured bacterium. Its description in RNAcentral is "bacterial SSU rRNA". It matches the Rfam family "Bacterial small subunit ribosomal RNA", at positions 53 to 830 of the family's 1533-position model. The record is from RNAcentral.
ACAUGCAGUCGAGCGCGCCCUUUUGGGUGAGCGGCGGACGGGUGAGUAACACGUGGGAAUAUGCCUUUCGGUGCGGAAUAGUCUUGGGAAACUGAGGGUAAUACCGCAUACGCCCUUUGGGGGAAAGAUUUAUCGCCGAAAGAUUAGCCCGCGUUGGAUUAGGUAGUUGGUGGGGUAAUGGCUCACCAAGCCGACGAUCCAUAGCUGGUUUGAGAGGAUGAUCAGCCACACUGGGACUGAGACACGGCCCAGACUCCUACGGGAGGCAGCAGUGGGGAAUCUUAGACAAUGGGGGCAACCCUGAUCUAGCCAUGCCGCGUGAGUGAUGAAGGCCUUAGGGUUGUAAAGCUCUUUCAGCUGGGAAGAUAAUGACUGUACCAGCAGAAGAAGCCCCGGCUAACUCCGUGCCAGCAGCCGCGGUAAUACGGAGGGUGCAAGCGUUAUCCGGAUUUAUUGGGUUUAAAGGGUGCGUAGGCGGCUUCAUAAGUCUGGGGUUAAAGGCAGCAGCUUAACUGUAUGCAUGCCCUGGAAACUGUGAAGCUUGAGUGACUUGGAGGUAGCUGGAAUUCCCUGUGUAGCGGUGAAAUGCAUAGAUACGGGGAGGAAUACCGAUUGCGAAGGCAUGUUACUACGAGUAAACUGACGCUGAUGCACGAAAGCGUGGGGAUCAAACAGGAUUAGAUACCCUGGUAGUCCACGCCGUAAACGAUGAUUACUAGUUGUUGGUCGA